CUUUCGUUUGGUAGGUCUUGCUACGUUUCACACACGGCCCGAAAAUAAGGCAGGGCCCGGCGUAAUUUCACUGUUUCAUCUUGCUUGCCUAUCCGCCACUCCCUGGGAUACAGUUACCCAAAUGAACAGUGGUAUUUGGGCUUGAGCAGAAUGAAGCGUUUGGGUGAAUAAAUCUCGUGAACCUGUUGCACAGCUUCAUCCAUUGGAAGCUCUUCUCACCCAUCACCGCCAACGUCGACCCCUGGACCGCCGCGGCCGUCGCGCCGAACACCGCCGCCUGCAUACAUUAAAUGCUUCUUAACAAGGAGGACAAUUAGGUGGUGCAAUUGGUUGACAAAAUGAAGGGCGGCGCAAUUGGUUUCGGUGAAUUGUAGAGAAAUAUGGUGGCUGCCUAAUUUUUGGGUUUCUCUCUCUCUUUUUUUAAUGUUGGGCGGCGCAUUUGGCAUUUUUAGAUUAGGGACGAAGGUGUUUUGGGGGAGGGGGGGAUUUAUCAUUUUUGGUCAUUUAAUAAAAUGAGGGUUAUACUUGUCAUUUUCACAAUAAUGUAAACUUAAUCUAGAUUUUAAUCUUGGCUAUCAAACACAUCAGGUAUACUAUCUUUA
Salvia miltiorrhiza (redroot sage) is the source of this 602-nucleotide long non-coding RNA. RefSeq lists it as uncharacterized. The transcript is spliced from 2 exons. The record is from RefSeq and is a predicted model, not a curated record. Lineage: Eukaryota; Viridiplantae; Streptophyta; Magnoliopsida; Lamiales; Lamiaceae.